RNAcentral lists this long non-coding RNA (621 nucleotides) under Equus caballus (horse). RNAcentral describes it as "lncRNA (ENSECAG00000045132.1)". The record is from RNAcentral. Lineage: Eukaryota; Metazoa; Chordata; Mammalia; Perissodactyla; Equidae.
CCUGAGUGUCCUGGUCACCUCCAGGCUUGGAAAGCUGUAUGACUGCUGCUUCUGUCAUUGAACGACCAAGGGAAACAUUCGUGCUUCCCUAAUGCUGGCCUCCCGGGGGGAGUGUGUUUUAGGAGAUGGGCAGUCUGAUUGAGUCAAACGGUACACACAUCACGGGCCAGUUAAUCCUGGGACUUUACCUAUCAAUGAGGCUCUGACCUCAUGGGAGAAAAGAUCUCCUAUUUGGAGACAGUCCUGCAGCGCAAAAGAUUCUCUCUCUCUUCUUUGGUGGGCCCUUAGAAACCUUCAGAUCCUUGCAGCCCUGCAGAGACCACUGCUUUGUGUAGACAAAGCUAAAGCCAGAACUGGGACUGAGUUACAACCAGGGAACCAUGGUGUGGCAGCUGGAUUGCUGAAGACAUUGAGCCAAGACAGAGCCACCCUUCAGUCCCUGGGGAAUCUGGAUCAUCUCUAUAUUCAGGGCCAAUGUAGGCCAGCCAGUCAGCUCUGCAUCCUCAGGCAAAGGAACUGGAAAAAGAAGCCACAGACCAUGCUUGCAUGUGUGUAUGUGAAUUGACCUUAUCUUAGGGAUGAAAAAAAAUCUCUGUAUAUACUUUUAGAUAAGGAUGGGCC